UACAGAGGGUGCGAGCGUUAAUCGGAAUUACUGGGCGUAAAGCGUGCGUAGGCGGUUCGCUGUGUCCGAUGUGAAAGCCCCGGGCUUAACCUGGGAAUGGCAUUGGAAACUGGCGGGCUUGAGUGCGGCAGAGGGGGGUGGAAUUCCGCGUGUAGCAGUGAAAUGCGUAGAGAUGCGGAGGAACACCGAUGGCGAAGGCAGCCCCCUGGGUCGACACUGACGCUCAGGCACGAAAGCGUGGGGAGCAAACAGG
Molecule: ribosomal RNA, 253 nt
Filed under: uncultured bacterium
Lineage: Bacteria
Description: partial 16S ribosomal RNA
Rfam family: Bacterial small subunit ribosomal RNA
Source: RNAcentral